Molecule: ribosomal RNA, 262 nt
Filed under: uncultured soil bacterium
Lineage: Bacteria
Description: partial 16S ribosomal RNA
Rfam family: Bacterial small subunit ribosomal RNA
Source: RNAcentral
AGAUUGAACGCUGGCGGCAUGCCUUACACAUGCAAGUCGAACGGCAGCACGGGAGCAAUCCUGGUGGCGAGCGGCGAACGGGUGAGUAACGCGUGGAUAACCUGCCCUGAGGUGUGGAACAACCGAGGGGAAACUCUGGCUAAUACCGCAUGAUACCGAGAGGUCAAAGGGGGCUCGCAAGAGCUCUCGCCACGAGGAGGGUCCGCGUUCGAUUAGCUAGUUGGUAGGGUAAUGGCCUACCAAGGCGACGAUCGAUAGCCGG